Trichonephila inaurata madagascariensis is the source of this 67-nucleotide non-coding RNA. Lineage: Eukaryota; Metazoa; Arthropoda; Arachnida; Araneae; Nephilidae. The record is from the annotation of a GenBank genome assembly.
GAAGUGCAAUGGAUAGCACGUUGAGCUUCUAAUCUAAAGGUCGUGGGUUCUAAUCCCAUGUGAAAUG